Molecule: ribosomal RNA, 735 nt
Filed under: uncultured Fusobacterium sp.
Lineage: Bacteria; Fusobacteriati; Fusobacteriota; Fusobacteriia; Fusobacteriales; Fusobacteriaceae
Description: bacterial SSU rRNA
Rfam family: Bacterial small subunit ribosomal RNA
Source: RNAcentral
GAUGAACGCUGACAGAAUGCUUAACACAUGCAAGUCAACUUGAAUUUGGGUUUUUAACUUAGAUUUGGGUGGCGGACGGGUGAGUAACGCGUAAAGAACUUGCCUCACAGCUAGGGACAACAUUUAGAAAUGAAUGCUAAUACCUGAUAUUAUGAUUUUAGGGCAUCCUAGGAUUAUGAAAGCUAUAUGCACUGUGAGAGAGCUUUGCGUCCCAUUAGCUAGUUGGAGAGGUAACGGCUCACCAAGGCGAUGAUGGGUAGCCGGCCUGAGAGGGUGAUCGGCCACAAGGGGACUGAGACACGGCCCUUACUCCUACGGGAGGCAGCAGUGGGGAAUAUUGGACAAUGGACCAAGAGUCUGAUCCAGCAAUUCUGUGUGCACGAUGAAGUUUUUCGGAAUGUAAAGUGCUUUCAGUUGGGAAGAAAAAAAUGACGGUACCAACAGAAGAAGUGACGGCUAAAUACGUGCCAGCAGCCGCGGUAAUACGUAUGUCACAAGCGUUAUCCGGAUUUAUUGGGCGUAAAGCGCGUCUAGGUGGUUAUGUAAGUCUGAUGUGAAAAUGCAGGGCUCAACUCUGUAUUGCGUUGGAAACUGUGUAACUAGAGUACUGGAGAGGUAAGCGGAACUACAAGUGUAGAGGUGAAAUUCGUAGAUAUUUGUAGGAAUGCCGAUGGGGAAGCCAGCUUACUGGACAGAUACUGACGCUGAAGCGCGAAAGCGUGGGUAGCAAACAGG